RNAcentral lists this ribosomal RNA (386 nucleotides) under uncultured Leptolinea sp. Its description in RNAcentral is "bacterial SSU rRNA". It matches the Rfam family "Bacterial small subunit ribosomal RNA", at positions 980 to 1382 of the family's 1533-position model. The record is from RNAcentral. Lineage: Bacteria; Bacillati; Chloroflexota; Anaerolineae; Anaerolineales; Anaerolineaceae.
UUUGACAUGCAAGUGGUGGAAUCCGAAGUGACCGACCCUUCGGGAGGCUUGCACAGGUGCUGCAUGGCUGUCGUCAGCUCGUGUCGUGAGAUGUUCGGUUAAGUCCGCUAACGAGCGCAACCCUCGUCGUGUGUUAUACGUGUCACACGGUACUGCCGGUAUCAAGCCGGAGGAAGGUGGGGAUGAUGUCAAGUCAGCAUGGCCUUUAUAUCCUGGGCUACACACACGCUACAAUGGCAGAUACAAUAGGUUGCGAAACCGCGAGGUGGAGCCAAUCCUCAAAGUCUGUCUCAGUUCAGAUUGUAGGCUGCAACUCGCCUGCAUGAAGUUGGAGUUGCUAGUAAACGCAGGUCAGCUAUACUGCGGUGAAUACGUUCCCGGGGCUU